RNAcentral lists this ribosomal RNA (903 nucleotides) under Ectophoma multirostrata. RNAcentral's name for it is "partial large subunit ribosomal RNA". It matches the Rfam family "Eukaryotic large subunit ribosomal RNA", at positions 27 to 947 of the family's 3401-position model. The record is from RNAcentral. Lineage: Eukaryota; Fungi; Ascomycota; Dothideomycetes; Pleosporales; Didymellaceae.
GCGGGGGGGGAUCUACAUAUCAAUAAGCGGAGGAAAAGAAACCAACAGGGAUUGCCCUAGUAACGGCGAGUGAAGCGGCAACAGCUCAAAUUUGAAAUCUGGCGUCUUCGGCGUCCGAGUUGUAAUUUGCAGAGGGCGCUUUGGCAUUGGCAGCGGUCCAAGUUCCUUGGAACAGGACGUCACAGAGGGUGAGAAUCCCGUACGUGGUCGCUAGCCUUUACCGUGUAAAGCCCCUUCGACGAGUCGAGUUGUUUGGGAAUGCAGCUCUAAAUGGGAGGUAAAUUUCUUCUAAAGCUAAAUACUGGCCAGAGACCGAUAGCGCACAAGUAGAGUGAUCGAAAGAUGAAAAGCACUUUGGAAAGAGAGUUAAAAAGCACGUGAAAUUGUUGAAAGGGAAGCGCUUGCAGCCAGACUUGCCUGUAGUUGCUCAUCCGGGUUUCUACCCGGUGCACUCUUCUAUAGGCAGGCCAGCAUCAGUUUGGGCGGUUGGAUAAAGGUCUCUGUCAUGUACCUCCUUUCGGGGAGAACUUAUAGGGGAGACGACAUGCAACCAGCCCGGACUGAGGUCCGCGCAUCUGCUAGGAUGCUGGCGUAAUGGCUGUAAGCGGCCCGUCUUGAAACACGGACCAAGGAGUCUAACAUCUAUGCGAGUGUUUGGGUGUCAAGCCCGAACGCGUAAUGAAAGUGAACGGAGGUGGGAACCUUUCGGGGUGCACCAUCGACCGAUCCUGAUGUCUUCGGAUGGAUUUGAGUAAGAGCAUAGCUGUUGGGACCCGAAAGAUGGUGAACUAUGCUUGAAUAGGGUGAAGCCAGAGGAAACUCUGGUGGAGGCUCGCAGCGGUUCUGACGUGCAAAUCGAUCGUCAAAUUUGGGGCAUAGGGGGAAAGAUAAUGAAUUAUUGUG